This is a long non-coding RNA of Drosophila serrata, 825 nucleotides long. Lineage: Eukaryota; Metazoa; Arthropoda; Insecta; Diptera; Drosophilidae. The record is from RefSeq and is a predicted model, not a curated record.
GUUAAGUUAGUUUUCAGAGUGCCUAAGUGGCCAGUCUUAAACUGUAACCAACUGGAAAUCAGAAGCUAAUGUCUAAAAAAAAAAAUAAUCUUAUAUAGUGACACAAAAAAGUACUUUGGAUGGAAGCGUUAAAGAUUGCGGAUUUGCAGCAAAUAAGUUCAACUCAGAAGCAAAACAGCACCGAUGACAAUAGUUACUCUCGGAACUUGCCUCGAAUAAAAAUUCAACUUAUAAGGAAACCUUUGAAAACAUCUGAAAAACUGAUAUCUGAAGAGUAAAUACCUAUGGACUUCCAGCUAGUAAUUGCGUUUAUGUAACAUAAUUAGAAGUGAAAAACAAAAGUGUCAUUUGCAAUGCAAUAUGUAUUGCCAAUGCGUAGUCCUCCAGAUAAGUAAGGAGGCGGAAAACAUGACGUGCACACCCUGAAGACAGGCGAGGUAGGGAAGGGCCUCGGUCUGGAUGAGGAGAGAGGUCUCUGAGGUGAAGUUGAGCCCGGUACCCAUGUCCCUCAGGGGGCUGCAGCUAAAUCUCCAUAAGAGCCGUUCGGUUCAACCUAACCUAAUCUAAACUGAUCAGUCCAACUCAGAAGCGGCAUAUCAGCAAUGAAAAUAAUUACUCUCGGAACUUGCCUGGAAUAAAGAUUCAACUCAUAAGGAAACCUUUGGAAACAUCUGGAAAACACUGAUAUUUCAAGAGUGAAUACCAAUUUACAAAAUAUUCUUUAUAUAUGUAUAUAAUAAGGAUGACUUGUAGAUUUGCAUUUAGUAUAUACAUAUGUAGUAGAUUUUCGCUUACUGCUUCCAUUUUUCUGCACAAUAACUUGUU